AGCUAGUCCGAGACAUUGCACCUCGGAUGCAGAAUGCACUUCGCAUAUCAAACGAUGCAAUGCUAUAUAAUGUACCCUGUUUUCGCAAUCUUGCGUCAGUUUCACUAUUUACGUUGAGUGUUCCGUGAGCCAUGGCUUUCAAAAUAAUAUUUCCCGUUGUUUGCAUGGGCAUACUGGCCCAAACCACGAGCCACCUCCUGCGCGAGACUAGGGACGCAGUCACAUCCACAACCACAGCGGUGCCAAGCCAGAGUGCCAACCUGACGGCUACCAACUACACCGAGGAUGCCACCAACCACACAUCCAAUGUGAAUGUAACACGAGAGGUCAGGGAGACAGCCAACACCACAGAGGCCCCAAUUCACAACGCCAACCUAACAGACACCAAAAGUCACAGUGGCGUCAUCAACGCAACCAACACAGCCAACCACACCAUCCACAAGCGGGAGACCAAGGAAGCAGCGAACGCCACGGAGGCUCCAAGUGCCAACUUGACACUCAGUGACGUCACAAACCACACCAAUACUGCCAACCUAACACGGGAGACCCGCGCCACAACAACCGAAGUCCCAAACCAUAUCGGCAAUUCAACCCAGAGUGACGUCACUAACCUCACCACCAGUGCCAACCUAACGCGAGAAACCAGGGAAGCGUGUCAGAGUGCAAAACUUACGGAGAACAUCGAGGUUGCGAACCACACGGAAGCUGCCAACGACACGGACAGCGCGAACCACACGGACAUCGCAAACCACACGACUAUCACCGUCCACGACCACAUCCAGGUCGCCGGCCACACGGCCGUCCAGCCGGACAUCGUCCUCUUGGGCCACUCGGAGGCCGAUCACACCCAGUUCCACGACUUCGCCCACCAGUACCUCUUCGCCCUGCAGCACUACCAACACGCCCUCGAGGUCCAGAACAUCCACCGGGAGAUGGAGCUCGCCCACGCACACGCUCAGCGACUCACCGCGGAACCCGAGCCUGUCAAGCCAGAAGCCGAAUCUGCAAAAGUAGAAACCGAGACGGUGGAGUCGAAGAAGGUUGAGGAUACGAAGGCGGACCUUAAGGUGAAGCCGGACUGUCAAGCUGAGGAGGAGGAGGAGGAGGCUGAGUCUCAAAAGGCUGAGAUCAAGGCUGAGCCUCAGAAAGCUGAAAUCAAGGCUGAGGCCCAGAUCGGAGCGACCUUGGCCCCAGAGGAAGCUAGAAAGCCAAAAUCCGAGGUGGACACUUUCACGACGAAGCCACCGAAAGAUGCAGAGGAAGACUAUUUUUCAGAACAGCAGUCGUCUGAGGACGAGGACUCCUCAGAGGAACUGGUCGAACCGGUGCCGAGUGGUUCCAUGUUGGGGGUUGUCUAUUCCGCGUCUACUGAUGUUUCCAAGACGCGGUAUGUCAAUUCGAAUGGGGUUGGUUACGUUUUCUGAAAUGGAAGUUCUGAUAAAAGCUGAAUAAAAGUUCAGUUGAUCUUGGAGGUCGUGCUCGUGUUUGAUCUCGGUAAGGUGGAUGAUAUUCUCAUGAUCUACCGAUAUUUAUUGAAAUGCAUCUAAGUUAUUGUAUCUAAUUUAUUUUUGCGUGAAAUGUCAGAACUUUUUUGACGUGUGAUACAUCACCUUUGAAUGGGUGUAAUAUGUGAUUGUUUAUUUAUUAUUUAUUGACUUAUUUAUUUCCGAAUCUGCGAUUUUAUUUAUUAAAUGUGUGUUACUCCUUUACAUUUUUGCUCAUGGGUGAUUUCACGAUAAGAGGAAUAGUCGUGUCGCCGUGGGUUAUAAACGACAUAGGGCAAAACGAUUGAAAACCAAGUUGAUGAAUCAAUAGGAAUGAUGUUCCUGAACCUGUCCAUGCUAAAAAAUAUGAUAUAUUAUUAUUAUAUUUAAUAAUAUGAGACUUUAAAGGCCGAAAAUGUCCGGUCGGUUACGCGUCGCCAACCGCGAUUUUGAAGCAAAAGAGCAAUAUGUGGUAAUAAAUCAGUACUGAUCAUGAAUUCUUUGGCAAUAUUUGCUAAAAGGAGACUCUAAUGUUCAAGAAAAUUGCCAGUUUGAACUAAAAUUUUUAUUAUUAAGUGAGAAAAGUCAUUAGAAAGAGGUGUCGCCACAUUUGGCAACACAUUUUUGCCGUUGUAUUAAGUGCAGUAUUUAUCUCGCCAGAUGGAUGCAGGAGUUUCAAAACUGUCAUCAAAUUGUUCGCUGAAGUCUUCUCGACAAAACCAUUACUAAUAAGUCAGUUUUUUUUACAACGAAAACUUUAAUUAUUAUGAAAACCAGUGAUUUUUAGGUGUGUAGCACUAAUUCCUCACUACACAAAAUUCUCAAUUUAAUAUUAUUAAACUAAAAGGAAAUCUCCAAAGUGUAGAAAACUUUUAAGGCAGCAUUAAUUCCACCUCAUAACUCAAGAAUUGCCAAGUUUCAUCUUUUGUAUCAUCUUUUAUCUCACAUUUUCAAGUGUCGGUUACGCUGUGUCGGUUACGUAACCGACACAAUUUGGCUGGGCCGCCAUGUUUGCGUGGACCUCCAGCAGUCCCGCGGGAAGCGCUGAUACCUGAUUAAAUGGCUUGUUUAUCAAUCACUUUAACUUUGUACUGAAUCAAAAUAGAGCGUGCCAAAGCUGGAAAAAGGAAGUUUAAUAUCUUUAAAAUGAGGUAAUGAAAUCCUGUUAAAAUUGGUGCACUUUUAUUUUUAAGGUAUUUCAUAUUUUAACUAUUCCUGUUAUCGUGAAAUCACCCUCAUACUGUUAUUACCUGUCCAAAAAAGUGGUGCAAAGUUAAUCAUGACAACGAACUAUUUUUUUAGAAUUUUUAAAGAGA
Molecule: long non-coding RNA, 2800 nt
Filed under: Bemisia tabaci
Lineage: Eukaryota; Metazoa; Arthropoda; Insecta; Hemiptera; Aleyrodidae
Description: lncRNA ENSSSA1NGG000675
Source: RNAcentral